GACGAACGCUGGCGGCGUGCUUAACACAUGCAAGUCGAACGGAAAGGCCCUGCUUUUGUGGGGUGCUCGAGUGGCGAACGGGUGAGUAACACGUGAGUAACCUGCCCUUGACUUUGGGAUAACUUCAGGAAACUGGGGCUAAUACCGGAUAGGAGCUCCUGCUGCAUGGUGGGGGUUGGAAAGUUUCGGCGGUUGGGGAUGGACUCGCGGCUUAUCAGCUUGUUGGUGGGGUAGUGGCUUACCAAGGCUUUUACGGGUAGCCGGCCUGAGAGGGUGACCGGCAACAUUGGGACUGAGAUUCGGCACAGACUCCUACGGGAGGCAGCAGUGGGGAAUCUUGAACAAUGGGCGGAAGCCUGAUGCAGCAACGCCGCGCGCGGGAUGACGGCCUUCGGGUUGUAACCCGCUUUCGCCUGUGAUGAAGCGUGAGUGACGGUAAUGGGUAAAGAAGCAACGGCUAACUACGUG
This 468-nucleotide ribosomal RNA is filed under the name uncultured bacterium. RNAcentral's name for it is "partial 16S ribosomal RNA". It matches the Rfam family "Bacterial small subunit ribosomal RNA", at positions 28 to 507 of the family's 1533-position model. The record is from RNAcentral.